UACCUCUUGUCAAACCAGGGAGAG
Molecule: non-coding RNA, 24 nt
Filed under: Rattus norvegicus (Norway rat)
Lineage: Eukaryota; Metazoa; Chordata; Mammalia; Rodentia; Muridae
Source: RNAcentral